This 253-nucleotide ribosomal RNA is filed under the name uncultured bacterium. Its description in RNAcentral is "partial 16S ribosomal RNA". It matches the Rfam family "Bacterial small subunit ribosomal RNA", at positions 524 to 776 of the family's 1533-position model. The record is from RNAcentral.
UACGAAGGGGGCGAGCGUUGUUCGGAUUUACUGGGCGUAAAGGGCGCGCAGGCGGCUCAUUUUGUCAGGCGUGAAAGCCCCGGGCUUAACCUGGGAACUGCGUUUGAUACGGUUGGGCUAGAGUUCGGGAGAGGAGAGUGGAAUUCCCAGUGUAGAGGUGAAAUUCGUAGAUAUUGGGAAGAACACCGGUGGCGAAGGCGGCUCUCUGGACCGAGACUGACGCUGAGGAGCGAAAGCAUGGGUAGCGAACAGG